UCCCUCUGCUAGCUCAGUCCGACACUAAUUUGGAUAGACAUCCGGGCACCCGGGGGCCUCCUCCAGUCCGGCUCGACACAUUGCAAGCCAGCUGAGAAGAGGGGAAGGGGGAGGCGGCGGAGCUCGCGGGCUCUGCUGCUGCUGCUGUUGCUCCACAGGUAAGCGAGCCAAGCCCGGGACUGGCUGGCUGGGCUUGCUUACAGAAUGGCCAUUUGGAGCUCCGGACCGUUCCGGCCUCUGAGCCGACCCAUUAUGGGGCGCUGGAGUGAGGGGGAAACUCGGCGAAAGCAGCGCGCGCUUCUGGCUGCGCUUUUUUUCCCAACGAAGGAAGGGGAUUGUUUUGGAGAGCCGGUUCUGAAACGAUUCGCACCUAUAGCCUCGCCCCCGCCCCCCCCGGCGAAAAGUUCGCAUGGAAGAAAAUUGCAGUAAGAGUGGGAAGCUCCUCCUGGGCAUCGGCCAAAGGUGAAGAAGCUACAGGGUGCUGGACUUUUUCCUGACAGAAAAAAACACUUAUAAGAAACAUUGAACUGAGAACUACUUUGCUGUUUUUCAUCAUCCCUUCCAACUGUUUUUCCUUUUGUGUCGUGGGUUGUACACUGUUAAGUCUAAGAGGGGAAACUGUCUUAUUCUUGAUUGUUGUAAGAUGCUCUGAGAGCCUUUUCUUUUUGGUUAAUUAAAUUAUACAAAACAACUAAA
Podarcis muralis (Common wall lizard) is the source of this 696-nucleotide long non-coding RNA. RefSeq lists it as uncharacterized. Lineage: Eukaryota; Metazoa; Chordata; Lepidosauria; Squamata; Lacertidae. The record is from RefSeq and is a predicted model, not a curated record.